UGUAGGAGUGAGCCUGCUCGCGAUAGCGUCGGGUCAGUCACCAUCAAUGUUGAAUGGUAUACCGCUAUCGCGAGCAGGCUCACUCCUACA
RNAcentral lists this unclassified non-coding RNA (90 nucleotides) under Pseudomonas moraviensis. The record is from RNAcentral. Lineage: Bacteria; Pseudomonadati; Pseudomonadota; Gammaproteobacteria; Pseudomonadales; Pseudomonadaceae.